UGAGUUAAGAUCGACGGUUUAUUCAUUAAUUAUUGAGGUUUAAAUCUAACAUAGGAAUUAUUAGGGUUUGGUUUAGGAUUUGGUUAGGAUUUGGUUUAGAAUUUAGGGUUUGUAUUAGGGUUUGAUUUAGGAUUUAGGAUUUGAUUUAGAAUUUGAUUGGGAUUUAUUUAGAGUUUAAGAUUUUGUUAGGAUUUGAUUUAGGAUUUGGAUUAGAGUUUGAUUAGGGUUUGAUUUAGGGUUUAGGGUUUGGUUUAGGAUUUGGAUUAAAAUUUGGUUAGGAUUUGAUUUAGGAUUUAGGAUUUGGUUUAGGAUUUGGUUAGGAUUUGGUUUAGGAUUUCGUUGGGAUUUGGUUUAAGAUUUGUUUAGUGUUUGAUUUAGGAUUUAGGAUUUUAUUAGGAUUUAAGAUUCAAUUAGUUUUGGCCUAAAGUUUGAAUGAAGUUCAAUAGGAUUUUAACUAGAAUUAAAUUAAGAUUGAAUUGAGAUGUAUUUUAGUGAUAUUUGUGAUCCUUCUAAUAUUUCUUUAAGAAUUCUUAUUAUUUGUUUGAAAUUUCUUUGAGAUUUUUUUGAAUUUUAUUAAGCUUGCUUAGCAUUAUUAUGAUCUAAUUAGAGUAUUGUUAGCAUUCUAUUAGAAUUAGAAUUUUAUUAUUGCAAUUUCCAUUCUUCCUUCUAUAGCCAUGUGCCCGGAGCAUUCUCAAGCAAGACUUCACGUAUUACGACAAUGUUGAUGACUUUUUAUUCUAAAAGAUUUGUAAUAGCCAAGAUCAACUAGAAGAUCCACAAUAAAGAGCUUCUUGUAAACAUAGAUUUAUUUUUAAAAUAGUAUCAUUACUUAGAAGACGCUUCUAAUCUAAUUACCAUAUAUAUAUGAAUCAUAAGAACUUCAAGUAUUUCAUAUCAAUACAUAUUUUAAAUUGUCACCAAGUCUAUUGGAGUAUGUUUUUAUUAAGUUUUUAUUUUAAGAUUAUUUAUUAAUCAUAAAAAUAGCAAGCUUUAUUAGAUAUCUUUUUUAGAUGUUCUUAUCUAGCAUCCAAAAAAUAAAUACAGGUUUUGAUCAACAAAGAAUGAUUUUCUUGAAGCCAAAGUAUUUUCAACUUUGAGCAAUGAAAUCAACAUUGAUUGUUAAAUCAACCUUUCUCAAGUAAGUUUAAUUGAGUGUAUCUUUUGUUAUUCUUAUUUAUGAUAUUAAAAAUAAUUCUUUAAAGUUUCAUAGUACUUUUGAAUAUGAGUUUAAAAAUAAUCUAUUCUAUUUUAAAAGAUACUUAUAUAUUUAAAAAAAAAUAAAGCAUAAUUACAUGUUCUUCAAGCUCAUGACAAUU
RNAcentral lists this long non-coding RNA (1316 nucleotides) under Physcomitrium patens. Its description in RNAcentral is "long non-coding RNA (PPAT_LNC002246)". The record is from RNAcentral. Lineage: Eukaryota; Viridiplantae; Streptophyta; Bryopsida; Funariales; Funariaceae.